ACAAGGCUGAUCUUGGCUAAUGCACUAUAUUUUAAAGGAGAAUGGAAUGAGAAGUUCGAUACUUCAGAAACAACAGACCAUGAAUUCUAUCUCCUCAAUGAAGGGUCUAUUCGAGCCCCGUUCAUGACAAGCAAAGAGAAGCAGUACGUAGCAGCGUUUAAUGGCUUUAAAGUGUUGAGGCUUCCUUAUAAACAGGGUACAGAUACACGUCGCUUCUCAAUGUAUUUCAUUCUCCCAAAUGCACAUGAUGGAUUACCUGCUUUAGUGGACAAAAUCAGUUCAGAACCUGGAUUCUUAAAUCACCACGUUCCGUUUAGAAAAGUUCGUCUGAGCCAGUUUCUUAUCCCUAAAUUCAAAAUAACUUUUGGAUUUGAAGCUUCCAACAUUCUAAAGGGACUUGGCCUAACGCUGCCUUUCUGCGGAGGUGAUCUCACUGAGAUGGUUGACUCCCCUAUUCCUGAGAACCUGUCGGUUUCACAAGUCUUCCACAAGUCCUUCAUUGAGGUAAAUGAGGAAGGAACCGAAGCUGCAGCUGUUACCGGGUCUAUAUUGAUGGCCGCGUCCUUGACUAUUGAGAAGCCAGUAGAUUUUGUUGCGGACCAUCCAUUCAUGUUCCUUAUAAGAGAUGAAUCUACUGGUGUGGUGUUGUUCCUUGGAAGCGUGAUGAAUCCUAUAGCUGGUUAGCUGACUGACACAACCAAAAAUGACUCUGGAAAGAAGGAAAGCAACGUAUGAAUCUCUGAAUUCACAUUAUCAUUCACAUUCGCAAAGAAUGAUAGAUCUAUCAUCUAUAAGGACAAAUUUCAGUGGCGCGAUGUAUCCAAAUAAUCAGUCUUCUGAUCUUUUUGUUACUUAAAAGUAUCUCUGACAUCUAAUGUUAUUUCAUUUGUGCUUGCUUUAUUUGUGUAUUUUGAUAUGAUAAAGAGCUCGAAAGUAAUUAGAAGUUUGUAAUUUCAUCUAUUGUACAUGUUAGGGACUCACAUGUUAGGUAGCUUAGUUUUCUUUUCUAUCAAUAAUGUUGAAGGGCUGUUAAAUUAGAUAAUUCAAAUCUUUUGGACAAGGAAGAAAUGGAGAAAUUAAUGCAACAAGUGUCCUCACUAAGUAUGUUGUUUUUCUUAAUACUAGCAAAUUAAGAAAGUACAUUACUUUGACAUUUGUGUUCUCAAUCUUUCGUAGACAUGAGCAGCCAAAAGAAACUUAUACUAUUUAAUUUCUUGUUUUGAUGAUCUGCAUUCUAUCUUUUUUCUCCAAUGAUUUAACAAGGGAAGCUAUAUACAUCUGCAACUGAACAUACUUACAUUUGUCAACUUUUCCAAACUUGGAGGUCAAGCAAAAAAGUUUCAUUUUUUUACGCCACUAAUAGUUAUUAGCGUAGAAAACCACUUUCUUUAUUAAAAGUUAAAACAGUUGAAAUCACGAUAUAUAUAUAUAUAUAUAUAUAUGUAUAACUUCUAAAAAAAAAUAAUUCAGUUGAAUGACUCAAACUUAUUAGAUAUAUGCAAAAUGUCACCAUUAUGUGCUUCGAAACUAACAGGUUCACAACUACGAAGUCAACCCUGCUAUACUUUUCUUCUCGGCGUCAUUUUGAUGUUGUUUCCGUUUAACAACUUUUAUUCGUCUCCAUCAAGUAUACAAUUAAUUAAUAUUGAGAAUAUAAUAAGUCUAUUGUGACAAUUAAGUGUCUUACUUUCUUUUUUGGUUGGUCGUAAGUUUUCCAAGAUUUGAAGCCUCCAUUUAUUUUUAAAUUUCGUAUUCAAUCAAACUAAGACACUUAAAUUGAACAGUGAAAGUAAUUCUUCUUGCUAUGGAAAAUCAAUGCUAAGUGUUCCUUUCAUUGAUUCCUUUCUGUGUAUGAAUGUGAUCAUUAGAGAAUUAAGCCUUACAAACAUGUACUUUCUUUAUUCAAAUGCCAUUUGUUGAUAUGUGUUUACUGGAUCAAUUCAAACUCAAAACUCCCCCUGUUAAGUAACAGUAUAGUAUAUAAAUUCUUGCAAAGCUUUCAACUAUGUGAUCAUUCUACUCAACAAGCGUCCUUCUUCUUCUCGUUCGCGUGCAAAUAUGGAUCUCCGGGAAUCAAUCAACAACCAGACAGACGUUUCUUUCAUGUUCGCUAAGCAUGUUUUCUCCAAUGAGAUUCAAGGCGAUACCAACCUAGUGCUCUCUCCUCUGUCAAUUCAAAUAGUUCUUGGCCUCAUUGCUGCCUGCUCUAACGGACCAACUCAGGAUCAGCUUCUCCGUUUCCUCAAGUCCAAUUCCAUUGAUGAACUCAACUCUCUUUAUUCACAUAUUGCCAAUGUCGUCUUUGCUGAUGGCAGCCCCAAUGGAGGUCCGCGUCUGUCUGUUGCUAAUGGUAUUUGGAUCGAACAAACGCUGCCUUUCAAGCCUUCUUUCAAGCAAGUUGUGGAUAAUGUUUACAAGGCUGAAUCAGAGUCUGUUGAUUUCAUGAACAAGGUAUGCCGUCGUCAUUGAUUUAUUCAAAUGUUGUUUCUUUUUCAUGCUGACAAAUGAUAAUUGGUUUUCGGGAAAAAGAAAACCGUAAGUAUUAAGCAGAGCCUUGGCACAACUGUAAAGUUGCUUCCAUGUGAAGAAGUGGUCACGACUCAAGCGAGAGCUUAAUGCAGCAAGCUUCCCUUUUUGUAAGCUUCCAUCUAUAAAAGAGUACAAAGUAUCACACAAUUAGGACAGAGAUCACAGUUCUUAGCCCUUUGAUGAUUAUAGCCUCAAGUUGUAUAAAUUAAAUGAUGUCCAUGCAUUAGCAUUUGUUCAAUUGAAAGAAUGAAAACGGUUUUUUUGAUAAAUGAGCAAGAAUAAGAGGAACAAAUAGGUAUGUAUGACCUAUUAUCUUACAUUCUAGCAUUCCAUGUUUGUCUUUGCCAAUUUGAUCAAGGCUGCUGAGGUCGUUGAUCAAGUCAAUCAAUGGACUAAAAUGAAGACAAAUGAUCUCAUAAAAAAGAUUCUUCAUCCUGCCGAUGUGGACAGCAUGACAAGGCUUAUCUUGGCCAAUGCACUAUAUUUUAAAGGAGAAUGGAGUGAGAAGUUUGAUGCUUCAGAAACGAAAAACCAUGAAUUCCAUCUCCUCAAUGGAUGGUCUAUUCAAGCACCCUUCAUGACUAGCGAAAAUGAGCAGUACAUAUCAGCGUUUUAUGGCUUUAAAGUGUUGAGGCUUCCUUACAAACAGGGUACAGAUACGCGUUGCUUCUCAAUGUAUUUCAUUCUCCCAGAUGCACAUGAUGGAUUACCAGCUUUAUUGGACAAAAUCUGUUCAGAACCUGGAUGCUUAAAUGACCACGUUCCGUUUAGAAAAGUUUGUGUGGGCAAGUUUCUUAUCCCUAAAUUCAAAAUAACUUCUGGUUUGAAAGCGUCCAACAUUCUGAAGGGACUUGGCCUAACGCUGCCUUUCUGCGGUGGUGGUCUCACUGAGAUGGUUGAUUCCCCUUUUCCUGAAAAUGAAAAUCUGUCCGUUUCAGAAGUUUUUCACAAGUCCUUCAUUGAGGUAAAUGAGGAAGGAACCGAAGCUGCAGCUGUUACCGUUACUGUACUGAUGCCCCUGUGCUUGUUUGUUGAGAAGAAAACUGACUUUGUUGCGGACCAUCCGUUCUUGUUCCUUGUAAGAGAUGAAUCUACUGGUGUGGUAUUGUUCAUUGGGAUCGUGAUGAAUCCUCUUGCUGGUUAGCUUUACUGAAACAACAUUAAAUGAACUUGGAAAGAACGAAAGCGACGUGAAUCUCUGAAUUCAUGUUAUCACAGAAAACUUUUUAUGAAACUUAGUUUUCCUCGUUAUCAAUAAUGUUGAAGGGCUGUUGAAUUAGAUAAUUCAAAUCAACUUUGGGACAAGGAAGAAAAGGAGAAAAUAUAAUAAGUGUCCUUAGUCCUUACUAUGUAUGUUGUUUUCUUAAUACCAUCAAAUUAAAAAAUUAUAUUGUUUUGAUUUUUGACAUUUGUGUUCUCAAUAUUUCAUAGACACCAGCAGCCAAAAGAAAACUAUAUUUGCUUUUUUAUGAUUUUGAUGAUCUGUAUUUUAUCUCUCUCUCUAAUGAAUUAAUAAGGGAAGAUCAAAAUAUAUAUACAUCUGCAACUGUAAAAGUAUUUUUCACAGGGAGCCUGCUUAACAAAUAUGUUAUCUUGCUUUGCUCACAGGUAAGUUCGUGCCAAGUGUUCACUUUAAGUCUUCAUCAGUGGAAAGAACUUUUAUUUUCAAUUAACAUAGUCAAUGAGUUAAUUUCUCACAGGUCACUCAACUAACGGUUUCAUCUUAGAAGGUCACUCAACUUUGUUUUGUAAGAUAAAAGUCACUCAACUAAUGAUAAUUAUCUGUGAAAGUCGCUCAACUUAGUUUAAUAAUAAAAAGUCAUUCAACUAUUGUCAUUUCACCUGCAAAGACACUCAAAUAUUGUCACCUUCACCAUCACCAACAGGAGCAAAAAUAGAUUUAUUUUCUAUGAUAUGAUAUAGCCACAUCCCCGGGAACAAAGAAUACAAUAAAGAAUACUUAGUUUGCUGAACAGUUGCUCUGCUUUUCUUAACUGUUUAGUGUGCUUGCAACGCGCUUCCCUCUAAUAGCUUCCCUUUGUUUCGAUUAAUUAUACUAUUAGUAUUGAAUUCCCAGUAGAAUUUAAUAUAAGUUUUCUUGUGGUUAGUCAGUGCCAGGUGUUCCCUUCAUUGUUUCCUUCCUGUGUAUGAAUAUUAUCUUCAUAGAAUUAGGUCUUACAAACAUAUCUUUGUUUAUGGCCAUUUGUCAAAACCCCACCCUGUUAAGUAACAAUAUAGUAUAUAAAUUCUUGCAAAGCUUUCAACUUUGUAAUCAUUCUACUCACUAAGCCCUCUCCUUCUCGUUCGCGUUCGCGUGCAAAUAUGGAUCUCCAGGAGUCAAUCACCAACCAGACUGAUGUUUCUUUCAUGAUAGCUAAACAUGUUUUCUCCAAAGAGGUUAAAGGCGAUUCCAACUUGGCCUUGUCUCCUCUAUGAAUUCAAAUAGUUCUUGGCCUCAUUGCUGCCGGUUCCACGGGACCAACUCAGGAUCAGCUGCUUUGUUUCCUCAAAUCCAAAUCAAUUGAUGAACUCAGCUCUCUUUAUUCUCAUCUCGUCAACAACAUAUUUCUCGAUAGCAGUCCCAAUGGAGGUCCUCGUCUGUCUCUCGCCAAUGGUGUUUGGACCGACCAAACACUGCCUCUUAAGCCUUGUUUUAAGCAGGUUGUGGAUAACGUUUACAAAGCUGCUUCAGAGUCUGUUGAUUUUCAGAACAAGGUAGCUCUUUAAUACUAAUUUUGUAUCUUUUAAGUAAAGCAUAUACUAUGUGCUGAUUCUAUCAUUCUGUUGUCUGUCUUACCAAUUGAUUAAGCCUGCUGAGGUUGUCAAUCAAAUCAAUCAGUGGGCUAAAACGAAGACAAAUGAUCUCAUCAAAGUGAUUCUUCCUCCUGACGCAGUAAACAAUAUGACAAGGCUCAUCUUUGUGAACGCGCUAUAUUUUAAAGGAGUUCAUAAAUUCCAUUUACUCAAUGGAGGGUCUGUUCGAGCACCGUUCAUGACUAGCAAGAAUAAGCAAUACAUAGCGGAAUUUGAUGGCUUUAAAGUGUUGAGGCUUCCUUAUAAACAGCGCAUAGAUACGCGUUGCUUCUAUAUGUAUAUAAUUCUCCCUGAUGCCCAUGAUGGAUUACCAGCUUUAGUGGAUAAAAUCAGUUCAGAACCUGGAUUCUUAAAUCACC
Molecule: long non-coding RNA, 5702 nt
Filed under: Capsicum annuum
Lineage: Eukaryota; Viridiplantae; Streptophyta; Magnoliopsida; Solanales; Solanaceae
Description: long non-coding RNA (CANN_LNC006129)
Source: RNAcentral